RNAcentral lists this long non-coding RNA (1607 nucleotides) under Homo sapiens (human). RNAcentral describes it as "HSALNT0269097". Lineage: Eukaryota; Metazoa; Chordata; Mammalia; Primates; Hominidae. The record is from RNAcentral.
UCUGUAUUAGUAUGCCAUGGCCAGAGUAAAACCUAUAAAUAUUAUGAGGCCUACAUUACUCAGCUGUUGCCACAAUAAUGCAAAAAAUCACUCCAAGACUCAGUGGCUUAAAAUGGUAAUUAUUUAUUCUCACAUAAACAUUUGCAAAUUAGCUGGGGUUUAGAUGACCUGGGGUGGUCCGGGCUGGGCUUCAAGUUAUGGGCUGAGUCCAAGUUUGCUCCAGGUGUCUUCCAUCUUCCUUGGACGCAGGCAUGUGUAUGCAUCUCAAGGCAAUGUUGGAAGUGCAGGAGAGCCAGGCCCACUGUGCAAAUCCACAGUGACCUUGAUGGCAUCAUGCUUGCUAACAUCUUACUGGCCAAUAGUCACAUGGCCAAGUCCAACAUCCCUAAGUCAGGGAAGGGUAUUCCUCCAAAGUGUGGAGGAGUAAAAAUUUUCUGAACACAAAUCCGAACUAUCCCAAGACCUGUACCCAAAUAAAAAUGAAAACAAAACUCAACUAAAACUUAAAACUGUGUCUUCCAAGGGACAAAAAAAUCUGUAUGUUGAAACUUAAAUUAACUUUCCUGAAUUUUCUUGUUGCAUCAUUUGGCCAGUAAGGCAGGAGCACGGUGUUCUCUCUGCUUUUCUGGUCCUUGAAGCAUGUGCUUCGUCUGCAUAAUGGACCAAUCAGAGCUGUUUAUGUUUCUGUCCUAGCACCGCCCCCAUGCAGCAGAUAUUUGAUAAAGUUGGUGGAAGGCAAUUGUUGAAUUCUAUAAAUAUAUGGCAAUUGCAUCAAUGCAUGCUAUAUUUGUUUUACAGAAAUUUAAGGUCGCUGUAGGUAUUGUGCGUUUCUACAUCAAAGCUUCAAAAAUAGUUCCGGGGUGUGGAGGUGCACAUAGCUUCUACUAGCAAUACACACACUCUGGAGCACUCCCGGGAAGUCGUGGCCUCUGGGUUUUCUGUUUGUUUUUCUGUCUCCUUUGCAAUGUAAAUGAAAUCACUUUCUCAGCCUGAUCAUUGCUCGAGGGAAAUGCAUGCCUGGAAAAUAAUCAACAGAGAGGAGAAUGUAGACAAAUACAAAAUAAAGCAAGAGGGUUUCUGCCUUUCUAGUUAAAGAGCAAUCUUUAAAAGUCAUCCAAGAAAAGUUGGCUCUGUUUUCUGAAUUGCUAUUUGGGAGAACAAAAGAAGCAAGGGAAAGUUUGACUUGACUUCCUCUACAAUUUGUUUAUAUCAUCGGAGCAGAAAGAAUCUCAGGGCUCAGCUCUCCACUUCCUGAAUGAGGAGAGAGAGAGAGAAAAAAAAAUGCCCGUGUGUCAAAUUCAUUGAGAUGUGCAAAGUGAUCAGCAAAAAUCCUGAUGGACUGGAGCCCAAAUGGCAAAGGAAGGAUAUUCUUCAAUUCAGCUGCUAUCUGGCAAGAGAGCUGCAAAGUCCUGAUGGCGAGUGUCACCAAAUACCUCCUCCUCUCCUCCCCAGCCACAGAAAGGACAGGCAAGGAGGGUGCAGCCUCUCCUGGCCUGUUGCUAUGGAGUCGGGCUAAUCCAAGACAAUGUUUCAGUCGGUCCAAUCCAAAGACAGCAGUGGUAGCAAUGGAAUAGCAUUGAAAUUAUAAAUAUUUACUUGAAAAUAAU